AAUGAAGUGUUAAAACUCAAGGUAAAGGCCGUUUCAGCUCCUUCACAUGGGAUCAAUAUGUUGUGCUCUUGUUAAAUUGACUGUUAGCUCCGAUAAAUGAGUCAAUGUUUUUCCUUCUUGUCUCUCCAAUGUUUGUAGACGAAUUCCAAGACCUAUGAUUCCCAUACAUAUUUCAACAGUUAUCUCAAAAGAUUAUAUAUUGUAUAUUACGCCUCUGUCUACGUGACAGGUUACAUGAUGGCUAGCUAAUCAAAAAGUCAUGCAAUAACCUAUUUACCUAGAAGAUGGGGGCUAUCUAUAGUGGCCUCAAUAACCUACGGUUUUGAGGAGUAAAGACCUCGUGCGAUGAUGCGGGCUAGACCGACAAGUCUGUAGGAGAGACGAUGAUGUCGACGACCCUCUCUUCUACAUAUCAAUGUCCGGCUCCUUUUCUUAAACUUCAAAAUGCCAAAGAUUGUGCCUUACCACGACAAAGGUGACACUAUGGACCAUCUUGAUGUCUACAAGAUUCAAAUGAACCUAAGGUAAGCAAGCUCAAUAGCAAAAUGUAAAGCCUUUCACGUGACCUUAGCUGAGAGGAAAAGCAUCUACAGUUGACCCAAAUUAAAGAGGCAGUUUUACAACGUGUUUAUUUCUAUGAAGGUCGAAUCUACUCACGUUUUUCAAAUUCAAAGGGAUCAAAUAAGAAAUGGUACUCUAAAUUAUAGAACUAUAGCUUUUUGCCAACCUAACACUUCUCCUAUCCAAGGUUAUCGAGGGUACCUAACCUUGACUAUGUUAUAUGGGCCUAUGGUCUCCGAGAUGGUUAAGGUCUGAAGCCUUGUGCCUUAAGACAACUAUAAUCGACAUUUUGAGCCAUGUGCAAUGCAAUUGAUGUAACAUCUUUAUAAAAACAGCUAGAAGUCAAAUUUCUUAGUUCCCGUGUAAGAUAGCUUAUGGGGGCUCACAUGCCUAUUAUGGAUAGGAUGUGAUAUUUUGGACUUUAUAUGUGAACAUCUGGGAUGAUGCCGUAUGUCAAGCAUAUUUAUUUUUCUGUAAAUACUCACAGUUGGCGAGAUAUGAACAUAAUCAAG
RNAcentral lists this long non-coding RNA (1073 nucleotides) under Olea europaea subsp. europaea. The record is from RNAcentral. Lineage: Eukaryota; Viridiplantae; Streptophyta; Magnoliopsida; Lamiales; Oleaceae.